UGAGGAAUAUUGGUCAAUGGGCGCAAGCCUGAACCAGCCAUCCCGCGUGCAGGAAGACGGCGCUAUGCGUUGUAAACUGCUUUUCCAGGGGGAGAAACUUCCGUACGUGUACGGAAUUGACGGUACCCUGGGAAUAAGCAUCGGCUAACUCCGUGCCAGCAGCCGCGGUAAUACGGAGGAUGCAAGCGUUAUCCGGAUUCAUUGGGUUUAAAGGGUGCGUAGGCGGACUAUUAAGUCAGUGGUGAAAUCCUGCAGCUUAACUGCAGAACUGCCAUUGAUACUGAUGGUCUUGAGUUUGGUUAAGGUAGGCGGAAUGUGUAAUGUAGCGGUGAAAUGCUUAGAUAUUACACAGAACACCAAUUGCGUAGGCAGCUUACUGAGCCGACACUGACGCUGAGGCACGAAAGCGUGGGGAUCGAACAG
This 423-nucleotide ribosomal RNA is filed under the name uncultured bacterium. Its description in RNAcentral is "bacterial SSU rRNA". It matches the Rfam family "Bacterial small subunit ribosomal RNA", at positions 355 to 775 of the family's 1533-position model. The record is from RNAcentral.